Molecule: ribosomal RNA, 440 nt
Filed under: uncultured bacterium
Lineage: Bacteria
Description: partial 16S ribosomal RNA
Rfam family: Bacterial small subunit ribosomal RNA
Source: RNAcentral
CCUACGGGAGGCAGCAGUGGGGAAUAUUGCACAAUGGGGGGAACCCUGAUGCAGCGACGCCGCGUGGGUGAGGAAGUACUUCGGUAUGUAAAGCCCUAUCAGCAGGGAAGAAAAUGACGGUACCUGACUAAGAAGCCCCGGCUAACUACGUGCCAGCAGCCGCGGUAAUACGUAGGGGGCAAGCGUUAUCCGGAUUUACUGGGUGUAAAGGGAGCGUAGACGGCGUGCCAAGUCUGGUGUGAAAGGCCGGGGCUCAACCCCGGGACUGCAUUGGAAACUGGCAUGCUGGAGUGCGCGAGACGUAUGCGGAAUGCGUGGUGUAGCGGUGAAAUGCAUAGAUAUCACGCAGAACUCCGAUUGCGAAGGCAGCAUACCGGCGCGCAACUGACGCUCAUGCACGAAAGCGUGGGUAUCGAACAGGAUUAGAUACCCGUGUAGUC